RNAcentral lists this long non-coding RNA (329 nucleotides) under Rosa chinensis. RNAcentral's name for it is "sRNA RchiOBHm_Chr2g0117031". Lineage: Eukaryota; Viridiplantae; Streptophyta; Magnoliopsida; Rosales; Rosaceae. The record is from RNAcentral.
GGCGGACGACGAGCAACCGAUCGUGACAGGGAGGCGCCGGAGCCGAGGAGCCGAGGCUUCGGCGCGGUCCAGCGCCCUGGAGCGCCUCCGAGCUCUCCGGCAAGGCGGCCGCCGCUCCGAAAACGCCGACGACCGGUUCCAGAUCAAGAUGGAGAAGCCGAUCUACGACACGGUCGACGAGGACGAGUACGACGCCAUCAUCGCCAAGCGCCGCGAGGAGUUCGGGGACUUCAUCGAGGACGACGACGGCCUAGGGUACCGCGACGACGGCGAGGAAGAGGACUGGACCCGCCGCGGGCUUCCGACGUCGUCGGAUGAAUCGGAGGGCG